RNAcentral lists this ribosomal RNA (483 nucleotides) under uncultured bacterium. Its description in RNAcentral is "partial 16S ribosomal RNA". It matches the Rfam family "Bacterial small subunit ribosomal RNA", at positions 28 to 507 of the family's 1533-position model. The record is from RNAcentral.
GACGAACGCUGGCGGCGUGCUUAACACAUGCAAGUCGAACGCUGAAGCUCAGCUUUUGUUGGGUGGAUGGGUGGCGAACGGGUGAGUAACACGUGAGUAACCUGCCUCCUUCUUUGGGAUAACGCCCGGAAACGGGUGCUAAUACUGGAUAUUCACUGGUCUUCGCAUGGGGGUUGGUGGGAAGGGUUUUUCUGGUGGGGGAUGGGCUCGCGGCCUAUCAGCUUGUUGGUGGGGUGAUGGCCUACCAAGGCUUUGACGGGUAGCCGGCCUGAGAGGGUGACCGGUCACAUUGGGACUGAGAUACGGCCCAGACUCCUACGGGAGGCAGCAGUGGGGAAUAUUGCACAAUGGGCGCAAGCCUGAUGCAGCGACGCCGCGUGAGGGAUGGAGGCCUUCGGGUUGUGAACCUCUUUCGCUCAUGGUCAAGCCGCAACAAUGGUUGUGGUGAGGGUAGUGGGUAAAGAAGCGCCGGCUAACUACGUG